Molecule: ribosomal RNA, 467 nt
Filed under: uncultured bacterium
Lineage: Bacteria
Description: partial 16S ribosomal RNA
Rfam family: Bacterial small subunit ribosomal RNA
Source: RNAcentral
ACGAGCGCUGGCGGCGUGCUUAACACCUGCAAGUCGAACGGAAAGGCCCUGCUUUUGUGGGGUGCUCGAGUGGCGAACGGGUGAGUAACACGUGAGUAACCUGCCCUUGAAUUUGGGAUAACUUCAGGAAACUGGGGCUAAUACCGGAUAGGAGCUCCUGCUGCAUGGUGGGGGUUGGAAAGUUUCGGCGGUUGGGGAUGGACUCGCGGCUUAUCAGCUUGUUGGUGGGGUAGUGGCUUACCAAGGCUUUGACGGGUAGCCGGCCUGAGAGGGUGACCGGCCACAUUGGGACUGAGAUACGGCCCAGACUCCUACGGGAGGCAGCAGUGGGGAAUAUUGCACAAUGGGCGGAAGCCUGAUGCAGCAACGCCGCGUGCGGGAUGACGGCCUUCGGGUUGUAAACCGCUUUCGCCUGUGACGAAGCGUGAGUGACGGUAAUGGGUAAAGAAGCACCGGCUAACUACGUG